ACCUGGGUGGCUCAGUUGGUUAAGCGUCUGAUUUCGGCUCAGGUCAUGAUCUCACAGUUCGUGGGUUUGAGCCCCACAUCGGGUU
RNAcentral lists this transfer RNA (85 nucleotides) under Felis catus (domestic cat). It matches the Rfam family "tRNA". Rfam says of the family: Transfer RNA (tRNA) molecules are approximately 80 nucleotides in length. The record is from Rfam by way of RNAcentral. Lineage: Eukaryota; Metazoa; Chordata; Mammalia; Carnivora; Felidae.